Molecule: ribosomal RNA, 465 nt
Filed under: Vreelandella stevensii
Lineage: Bacteria; Pseudomonadati; Pseudomonadota; Gammaproteobacteria; Oceanospirillales; Halomonadaceae
Description: partial 16S ribosomal RNA
Rfam family: Bacterial small subunit ribosomal RNA
Source: RNAcentral
CCUACGGGAGGCUGCAGUGGGGAAUAUUGGACAAUGGGGGCAACCCUGAUCCAGCCAUGCCGCGUGUGUGAAGAAGGCCCUUGGGUUGUAAAGCACUUUCAGUGAGGAAGAACGCCUGGUGGUUAAUACCCAUCAGGAAAGACAUCACUCACAGAAGAAGCACCGGCUAACUCCGUGCCAGCAGCCGCGGUAAUACGGAGGGUGCGAGCGUUAAUCGGAAUUACUGGGCGUAAAGCGCGCGUAGGUGGCUUGAUAAGCCGGUUGUGAAAGCCCCGGGCUCAACCUGGGAACGGCAUCCGGAACUGUCAAGCUAGAGUGCAGGAGAGGAAGGUAGAAUUCCCGGUGUAGCGGUGAAAUGCGUAGAGAUCGGGAGGAAUACCAGUGGCGAAGGCGGCCUUCUGGACUGACACUGACACUGAGGUGCGAAAGCGUGGGUAGCAAACAGGAUUAGAUACCCCAGUAGUC